CCUACGGGUCGCAGCAGUGGGGAAUAUUGCACAAUGGGCGAAAGCCUGAUGCAGCAACGCCGCGUGAGGGACGACGGCCUUCGGGUUGUAAACCUCUUUUAGCAGGGAAGAAGCGAAAGUGACGGUACCUGCAGAAAAAGCGCCGGCUAACUACGUGCCAGCAGCCUCGGUAAUACGUAGGGCGCAAGCGUUAUCCGGAAUUAUUGGGCGUAAAGAGCUCGUAGGCGGUUUGUCGCGUCUGCUGUGAAAUCCCGAGGCCCAACCUCGGGCCUGCAGUGGGUACGGGCAGACUAGAGUGCGGUAGGGGAGAUUGGAAUUCCUGGUGUAGCGGUGGAAUGCGCAGAUAUCAGGAGGAACACCGAUGGCGAAGGCAGAUCUCUGGGCCGUAACUGACGCUGAGGAGCGAAAGGGUGGGGAGCAAACAGGAUUAGAUACCCCGGUAGUC
RNAcentral lists this ribosomal RNA (445 nucleotides) under uncultured bacterium. Its description in RNAcentral is "bacterial SSU rRNA". It matches the Rfam family "Bacterial small subunit ribosomal RNA", at positions 338 to 795 of the family's 1533-position model. The record is from RNAcentral.